UGCCGGAAGACAGAAGACUUGGAAGGAUAAUGGGAUUUAAUGGGGCUGUACCCUUUGUCACAGAGGCUUACAAUCCCAUUUUAAAGCUCCAUAACUUUCCUUCUCCAAACCUCAGCUUUUAUUUCUCUUUCCCCCCAACUCGUUGACGUGAGACUUGGAUUACUACUUCUCAUUGGUUGCCCCCACAUACGUCGUUGCAGCGGGAGCCAUGCCUGAUUCGAGAUGGCUCGGGAGUCAGGAGAAAGUUUCUUCCUCUGCUUCACAUGAUUCCGUGGAGGCGGCACAGGAGGGGCCUCCACUUGUUGCAGGCUUUGGACUGCAAAUAGCUAGCGCUUGGACUUGCUGCACAAGCGCAUCGAAGUGCUCGAGUUGGACUU
Molecule: long non-coding RNA, 377 nt
Filed under: Phoenix dactylifera (date palm)
Lineage: Eukaryota; Viridiplantae; Streptophyta; Magnoliopsida; Arecales; Arecaceae
Description: long non-coding RNA (PDAC_LNC019207)
Source: RNAcentral